RNAcentral lists this unclassified non-coding RNA (264 nucleotides) under Basidiomycota sp. RNAcentral's name for it is "partial contains small subunit ribosomal RNA, internal transcribed spacer 1, and 5.8S ribosomal RNA". The stretch from base 1 to 47 matches the Rfam family "Eukaryotic small subunit ribosomal RNA", at positions 1785 to 1831 of the family's 1831-position model. The record is from RNAcentral. Lineage: Eukaryota; Fungi; Basidiomycota.
AAAGUCGUAACAAGGUUUCCGUAGGUGAACCUGCGGAAGGAUCAUCACUGGGUUUGAGAGGUUGCACACCGUGAAUGGUAUGGAGGGCUGCGGGGUGGGUUGGCGGGUAGAGGGGGGGUGAGAGGAGCGUGACACGCGACGCUUGCCACCACCGCCCGCCAACACGCCCAGCGGCCGCAUUCGUGUACAUUACACUAUGCAAACAACACAAACGCAAAACAGCAUAAUAACACACAACUUUCAACAAUGGAUCUCUUGGCUCUC